Molecule: long non-coding RNA, 220 nt
Filed under: Carica papaya (papaya)
Lineage: Eukaryota; Viridiplantae; Streptophyta; Magnoliopsida; Brassicales; Caricaceae
Description: long non-coding RNA (CPAP_LNC015548)
Source: RNAcentral
UCGCACCUGUUUUAUUUGGCACUGCAAAUACAUAUCUCUCCCCCCUCCCAUCAUUUGUUUCCUUGUGCGUUCACACUGCACCUCUCCUUCUCGUUCUAAUAUCGAUUAAAAUGCCCAUGCUUCUUGACUCACCUUUGCGAAUGAACCAGCGGAUCAUAAUUCCAUUCGCGCGUAAUGUCGAACGACCCAUCCGAAAAAAAAAUUGGUGCAACACGAGAAC